Molecule: small RNA, 117 nt
Filed under: Marmota monax (woodchuck)
Lineage: Eukaryota; Metazoa; Chordata; Mammalia; Rodentia; Sciuridae
Source: RNAcentral
GCUUAGCUCAGUGGUCUGUGCCUGUAGUCCUAGCUCCUUGGGAGGCUGAGGCAGGAGGAUCACUUGAGCCCAGGAGGUCAAGGCUAGCCUGGGCGACACAGUAACACCCAACCCCAA